UUUCCUUUACAAAAUACGUGUUGAGCUAUGUAGUUUUCAAAAAAACAAUUUCGCUUCCUAUCGCAAUUUAAUUUGAGCGGAACCUGUCCUUGAAAGGGGUGCGAUCAGUGCCAGAAACAAAACUGAUGAUAGUUUCGGAAUAAAAGGUGAAAAAUUGUCUAUCAAGAAAUAAUUCUCUACGUUUUUGUACACUACAUAUUUGCCUAAUUAAAUUAAUUCUGAUAAGAGAAUUUUCACACACAUUUAACGCUACAGUUACUAUGGUUAGCCCACGUACAUUUGUGCUUUUUACGUUUCUUGUUUUCUGGGUUUUUGGGUCAAUGGCAAUAAUGGAGCCAACUCAAGGAUGUAACGAGACCAAUAUCCAAAACCAAAGGGAUUGCAAUGCAGUUUGUCUUAUGUACGGUCACACAGGCGGAUUCUGCUCGCUUGACAUCUGCAUUUGUCACUAGUUAUCAAAUACAGUUUGGUUUUCGGAUUUAUCCCAAGGUGAGCUGUGUUGAAGUGUUAUGCGAUUCUGCGAAGGCCAUGACGUUGGAUAGACGGUGAAAACGCUCCAUGUUUAAUAUAUAUUUGCUUCAUUGUAACAUAAAAAAACUACAUCAUAAACUUAUUUUGUUCUAGAUUCAAAUUACUACAAUAAACAAAAUUAACUCACUUUA
Molecule: long non-coding RNA, 662 nt
Organism: Photinus pyralis (common eastern firefly)
Lineage: Eukaryota; Metazoa; Arthropoda; Insecta; Coleoptera; Lampyridae
Exons: 2
Source: RefSeq, a predicted model, not a curated record